Molecule: ribosomal RNA, 448 nt
Filed under: uncultured organism
Description: partial 16S ribosomal RNA
Rfam family: Bacterial small subunit ribosomal RNA
Source: RNAcentral
ACUCCUACGGGAGGCAGCAGUGGGGAAUAUUGGACAAUGGGCGCAAGCCUGAUCCAGCCAUGCCGCGUGUGUGAUGAAGGCCCUAGGGUUGUAAAGCUCUUUCACCGGUGAAGAUAAUGACGGUAACCGGAGAAGAAGCCCCGGCUAACUUCGUGCCAGCAGCCGCGGUAAUACGAAGGGGGCUAGCGUUGUUCGGAUUUACUGGGCGUAAAGCGCACGUAGGCGGACUAUUAAGUCAGGGGUGAAAUCCCGGGGCUCAACCCCGGAACUGCCUUUGAUACUGGUAGUCUUGAGUUCGAGAGAGGUGAGUGGAAUUCCGAGUGUAGAGGUGAAAUUCGUAGAUAUUCGGAGGAACACCAGUGGCGAAGGCGGCUCACUGGCUCGAUACUGACGCUGAGGUGCGAAAGCGUGGGGAGCAAACAGGAUUAGAAACCCUUGUAGUCCCAUG